This is a non-coding RNA of Camellia sinensis, 778 nucleotides long. NCBI's taxonomy places the organism in Eukaryota, Viridiplantae, Streptophyta, Magnoliopsida, Ericales, Theaceae. The record is from RefSeq and is a predicted model, not a curated record.
ACCCUCUCGAAGCUCGAUGAAGCUCCAUCUACACCCGCGAUUUCGAAGCUUCAGAGCGAUUUCGAAACUCCAUCGCCCCACCAUCUGCUCUCUCUCUCUCGAUUUAGAUCUACUAAGCUCCAUUUUUCCAAAUUUCGAGGUAGCGAGCUCCACCGUCUCUCUCUCUCUCUAGAUCUAUGAAAUCAAUAGAGAGAUCUAUGAAAUCAAUGUUUGAAGGCAUUCUUACUUGAUCCUUAUUUGCAGAGACUCAAAGAUUCAGUGAUUUCAGAGCGAUUUCGAUUUCGAAGCUCCAUCGCCACCACCAUCUGCACCUGCGAUUUUCAUUUCACUAAGAAGCUCAGAUCUGAACUCUGACCCCUCGAUUACUCGCAUUUCAAGCCCCAAUGGCCGCGAAUAGUCUACUUUGGUUCUGAACUUUAAUCGUUGCCUGUGAAUUGGAAUUGGUUGAAACCAUCAUUGUGGGAUGGGAUUCUUCAUGCUAAUGCUUGAACUAUAUGUAUGAGUAUGAUUACUUAUGGUUGCAUUGUAGGAACCAUGCAAAUGGCAGUUGGAGUUACAUUUGGUAUGUGUCUGAACUUUUUUUUUUGUCAAUAUCGUGUUUGUUCCAUAACAUUGCCCUCAUUAGUUUGUUACAGUUAAUUACUUAUAAUUACUUUUGAGUAAUUUGUUAAUGUGUACUGUUGCUCUUGAUUAUGUCUAAUAAUGUUUUUAUUAUAUCCAAACAACUUUCUAUUGCUUAUUUGUGUUGUGUGUUUGUGUAUAUAUGUAUAGAGAGGAU